Non-coding RNA from Pelobates cultripes (western spadefoot toad), 291 nucleotides. NCBI's taxonomy places the organism in Eukaryota, Metazoa, Chordata, Amphibia, Anura, Pelobatidae. The record is from the annotation of a GenBank genome assembly.
AGUGACAAACUAGUUACCUACCUAUGUGUAUAAUGUUAAGGGACAGCCAAGGAUAUAAAAGGUAACCUUACCAAGAGAGGUUAAUGAGAAAAUGCAUCCCUCUACCUACAUCUCCACUAUCUUCUGUCAAGCAUGGCCAUUGGCAUGAUAUUAAACACCUCCACUUAUUUAAAUGUGCUUAGGGAUUUAGGAUAGGGUGAAGGUAACUUUUUUUUUUGUGCAAAUAUUUUAAAAGGAAUCUCAGCCAGGACUUUAGAAGUGUGAACUAACUAAACCCUUUCUAUAAUUAGC